Molecule: ribosomal RNA, 254 nt
Filed under: uncultured bacterium
Lineage: Bacteria
Description: partial 16S ribosomal RNA
Rfam family: Bacterial small subunit ribosomal RNA
Source: RNAcentral
UACGUAGGGUGCGAGCGUUGUCCGGAAUUACUGGGCGUAAAGAGCUCGUAGGUGGUUUGUCGCGUUGUUCGUGAAAACUCACAGCUUAACUGUGGGCGUGCGGGCGAUACGGGCAGACUUGAGUACUGCAGGGGAGACUGGAAUUCCUGGUGUAGCGGUGGAAUGCGCAGAUAUCAGGAGGAACACCGGUGGCGAAGGCGGGUCUCUGGGCAGUAACUGACGCUGAGGAGCGAAAGCGUGGGGGAGCGAACAGG